Molecule: ribosomal RNA, 279 nt
Filed under: uncultured bacterium
Lineage: Bacteria
Description: partial 16S ribosomal RNA
Rfam family: Bacterial small subunit ribosomal RNA
Source: RNAcentral
UGCCAGCAGCCGCGGUAAUACGAGGGGUGCAAGCGUUAUUCGGAAUUACUGGGCGUAAAGGGUGCGUAGACGGCUUGUUAAGUCUGUUGUUAAAUUCUCCGGCCUAACCGGAGGUCAGCAACAGAAACUGACGAACUAGAGGAUGGAAGAGAGAAGUGGAAUUCUCGGAGUAGCGGUAAAAUGCGUAGAUCUCGAGAGGAACACCGAUGGCGAAAGCAGCUUCUUGGUCCAUUCCUGACGUUGAGGCACGAAAGCGUGGGGAGCAAACAGGAUUAGAUA